GUCAGGUGUGGUGGUGCAUUCCUGUAGUCCCAGCUACUUGGGAGACUGAAGCAGGAGGAUUGCUUGAGCCUGGGAGGUCAGGGCUGCAGUGAACCGUGACUGCACCACUGCACUCCAGCCUGGACAAUAAAGUGAGACCCUGUCUCAA
Unclassified non-coding RNA from Macaca mulatta (Rhesus monkey), 148 nucleotides. It matches the Rfam family "Metazoan signal recognition particle RNA". Rfam says of the family: The signal recognition particle (SRP) is a universally conserved ribonucleoprotein. It is involved in the co-translational targeting of proteins to membranes. The eukaryotic SRP consists of a 300-nucleotide 7S RNA and six proteins: SRPs 72, 68, 54, 19, 14, and 9. NCBI's taxonomy places the organism in Eukaryota, Metazoa, Chordata, Mammalia, Primates, Cercopithecidae. The record is from Ensembl.